AGCGCUGCUGGCGGGCUGGGUGUCACGCGGGUCUACAACACACGCCAGUCCGGUGUGUCGGACGCCCUGUUCGGCCCGGGUUGGGUUUCCA
This 91-nucleotide transfer RNA is filed under the name Actinoplanes siamensis. RNAcentral describes it as "tRNA-Cys". The record is from RNAcentral. Lineage: Bacteria; Bacillati; Actinomycetota; Actinomycetes; Micromonosporales; Micromonosporaceae.